Molecule: ribosomal RNA, 301 nt
Filed under: uncultured bacterium
Lineage: Bacteria
Description: partial 16S ribosomal RNA
Rfam family: Bacterial small subunit ribosomal RNA
Source: RNAcentral
CAGCCGCCGCGGGAACACGUAGGGCGCAAGCGUUGUCCGGAAUUAUUGGGCGUAAAGAGCUCGUAGGCGGUCUGUCGCGUCUGGUGUGAAAUCCCGAGGCUCAACCUCGGGCUUGCAUCGGGUACGGGCAGACUAGAGUGCGGUAGGGGAGACUGGAAUUCCUGGUGUAGCGGUGGAAUGCGCAGAUAUCAGGAGGAACACCGAUGGCGAAGGCAGGUCUCUGGGCCGCAACUGACGCUGAGGAGCGAAAGCAUGGGGAGCGAACAGGAUUAGAUACCCCAGUAGUCCCUGUCUCUUAUAC